RNAcentral lists this ribosomal RNA (370 nucleotides) under uncultured organism. RNAcentral describes it as "bacterial SSU rRNA". It matches the Rfam family "Bacterial small subunit ribosomal RNA", at positions 526 to 896 of the family's 1533-position model. The record is from RNAcentral.
CGUAGGGUGCGAGCGUUAAUCGGAAUUACUGGGCGUAAAGGGUGCGCAGGCGGUUAUGUAAGUCAGAUGUGAAAUCCCCGGGCUCAACCUGGGAAUGGCAUUUGAGACUGUAUAGCUAGAGUGUGUCAGAGGGGGUAGAAUUCCACGUGUAGCAGUGAAAUGCGUAGAUAUGUGGAGGAAUACCGAUGGCGAAGGCAGCCCCCUGGGAUAACACUGACGCUCAAGCACGAAAGCGUGGGGAGCAAACAGGAUUAGAUACCCUGGUAGUCCACGCCCUAAACGAUGUCAACUAGUUGUUGGGACUUAAAUAGUCUUGGUAACGUAGCUAACGCGCGAAGUUGACCGCCUGGGGAGUACGGUCGCAAGAUUA